CUUGAAAGAGUAAAUGUAACUAAGAAAACUAGACUUAUCACUUAUCCUCACUGCAUCGAAUUUGCCAAUACAACGUCCACCGGAAUAAUGCAGGCAUGUACAGAGCAAUAUGGAAGUAGCUGAGGAUGUGGAAAGCUGCCAACAGAGGAGGCAUCACUCAACAGUUACAGAUAAUAGGAUUCCUAUCAUGGAUUGGCAUGUUUCAUUUCCGAAUGGCAUCAUCUUUCACAAGUGCUUGAUCGACUAUUAAGAAGACCAAUUCUUAAUCCUAUGAGGCGAUUCCUGAGAUGGCUUGACAUUCAUCUCUCAAUCCAAACUACCAACAGGCUGAACACCACCUGUCUGCUCUUAUAACUUCACCAUUUCUUGCGCUCCCGAGAUGGGAUUAUGGCGGGGACCUAAUACUGUACACAUCAUGCGAUCUCUGUAAUAUGGACAAUUCUAAUGCUCCAAUGACCUAUUCCUACUUUGCACAUUCACAUGCGCAUAUAGCGUAGAGCCUCUGCUGUCUGCAGAGCAGACUCCUAGUCACCAAAUGUAUUCAAUCGACCCGUAAUUGUUGCGAGCUAAUCAUUGAGAUAGUUUUCACACUUGAAGCAAUUGGAGACAAUUCCUACGAACGAAGAGUCUGCAGAUCAGCGGCCAAAUAUAGUGAAACUUCUCUGAUCACUAAACCUCGAGCUACCAACUAGGAACAGGAUGUGUUUGAGUUCUGCUGAAAGAGCUCAAUCACUAUCCUCUCGGUUCGUCAUGGAGCGUGAACGCCACACAAGUGGCUUGAUGGUCCUGCCCAACCGCCGUGAAGCUCUAGGGGUGACAGACUCGCGCUCGUCAUCAGAUGUGGAGUCUAAAAUUUUCAAUGACAAGCUCUUUUUCAAAGAGAAUCUGUCAGUAUCUUGGCUCAUCACAACUCUCCUUGGUUCGAGUCGCCUCCUGGAUUUCCUUGAUGGUGACGACCUUCGUGCGCUGAGACUCCUGCCCCAGUGAAGCGCUCCAUCCACAGGAUAUGGAGCAGAGAUGGAGUAUUCUUCAAUUUUCAAGUC
This 1043-nucleotide long non-coding RNA is filed under the name Physcomitrium patens. Its description in RNAcentral is "long non-coding RNA (PPAT_LNC008220)". The record is from RNAcentral. Lineage: Eukaryota; Viridiplantae; Streptophyta; Bryopsida; Funariales; Funariaceae.